Molecule: transfer RNA, 85 nt
Filed under: Candidatus Hydrothermia bacterium
Lineage: Bacteria; Pseudomonadati; Caldifarciminota; Caldifarciminia
Description: tRNA-Leu
Rfam family: tRNA
About the family: Transfer RNA (tRNA) molecules are approximately 80 nucleotides in length.
Source: RNAcentral
GCGGAGGUGGCGGAAUUGGCAGACGCGGUGGUUUGAGGGGCCACUACCUGUCAAGGGUGUGAGGGUUCAAGUCCCUCCCUCCGCA